RNAcentral lists this ribosomal RNA (798 nucleotides) under uncultured diatom. RNAcentral describes it as "SSU rRNA". It matches the Rfam family "Bacterial small subunit ribosomal RNA", at positions 516 to 1325 of the family's 1533-position model. Lineage: Eukaryota; Bacillariophyta. The record is from RNAcentral.
AGCGGUAAGACGGAGGAGCAAGGGUUAUCCAGAAUCCAUGGGCGUAAAACAUUCGAAAGGGGGUUUAAUAAAUCACACUGAUAAUCCUGGGGGCCUACCUCGAAAUCGCAGUCGAACCUUUUAACUAGAGCAUAGAAGGGGUAAAGGGAAUAUCCACGGCAAGGUGAAAUGUGUAGAGAUUGGAAGGAACAACGCAUGGCGAAGGCCCUUUACUGGGAUUCUAUAACACUCAGAGAAGAAAGUAAAAGUAGCAAAUCGGAUUAGAUCCCCCAGUAGUCUUAGCUGUAAACAAUGGAUAGUAGAUGUUUAUCGGAUCGAUCUGUGCAGUAUUAAAAGAUACAGCGUUAAGUAUCCCCCCCCGGAAGUAUGCUCGCAAGAGUGAAACUCAAAGGAAUUGACGCGGGCCCGCACAAGCGGUGGAGCAUGUGGUUUAAUUCGAUGCAACGCGAAGAACCUUACCAGGGUUUGACAUGAUACGAAUUUCUUUGAAAGAAGAAAGUGCCGUUUGGAACGUAUACACAGGUGGUGCAUGGCGGUCGUCAGCUCGCGUCGUGAGAUGUUGGGUUAAGUCCCGCAACGAGCGCAACCCUCAUUUUUAGUUGCCAUAUGGAAAUCUUGAAAGACCCCCGCUUAAAAACCGGAGGAAGGCGGGGAUGACGUCAAGUCAGCAUGCCCAUUACACCCUGGGCUACACACAUGACACACUGGGCGAGACAAAGCGAUGCAACUCCGCAAAGACUAGAUAAUCUAUAAAAUCGUUCUAAGUUCGGAUUGUAGGCUGCAACUCGCUUCGUGAAG